CCAUGUCCAGGAUGAAGUUGCCGUAAAAGGCAAUGGAGGUCCGAACACACAUCCGUUGAAAAGGGUGGUGAUGAGGUGUGGGUAGGGGAGAAAUUCCAAUCGAACCCGGAGAUAGCUGGUUCUCCUCGAAAUAGCUUUAGGGCUAGCCUCGGUUUAGUCUGCUGGAGGUAGAGCACUGAAUUUCCUAGGGGGCGUCAAAGCUUACCGAAGAAUAUCAAACUCCGAAUGCCAGCCAGAUGAUGACCGGGAGUCAGACUGCACGAGAUAAGUUGGGUAGUCAAAAGGGAAAGAGCCCAGACCACCGGCUAAGGUCCCAAAGUACGUGUUAAGUGGAAAAGGAUGUGGGAUUUCAAAGACAACCAGGAUGUUGGCUCAGAAGCAGCCAUACAUUCAAAGAGUGCGUAAUAGCUCACUGGUCGAGAGGUCCUGCGCCGAAAAUGUCCGGGGCUGAAACACGACACCGAAGCUGUGGAAUUGACGAAUGUUAAUUGGUAGAGGAGCAUUCUUAGCGGGAUGAAGCAGUACCGAAAGGAGCUGUGGACUUCUAAGAAGAGAGAAUGCCGGAAUGAGUAGCGAGAGAGAGGUGAGAAUCCUCUCGGCCGAAUAUCUAAGGUUUCCAGAGUAAAGCUGAUCUGCUCUGGGUAAGUCGGGACCUAAGGCGAGGUCGAAAGACGUAGUCGAUGGACAACAGGUUGAGAUUCCUGUACUGCUGUAUAACAGAACUGUGGGGACACAGAGGGAGAGUGCAACCCGGGAGUGGAAAGACCGGGGCAAGCGAGGUAGGAGUCACGUAGGCAAAUCCGCGUGGCGAUCCGA
RNAcentral lists this ribosomal RNA (816 nucleotides) under Clostridiaceae bacterium AF42-6. RNAcentral's name for it is "partial 23S ribosomal RNA". It matches the Rfam family "Bacterial large subunit ribosomal RNA", at positions 734 to 1559 of the family's 2925-position model. Lineage: Bacteria; Bacillati; Bacillota; Clostridia; Eubacteriales; Clostridiaceae. The record is from RNAcentral.